AGCAUGUGGUUUAAUUCGAAGCAACGCGCAGAACCUUACCAGCCUUUGACAUCCUAGGACGACUUCUGGAGACAGAUUUCUUCCCUUCGGGACCUAGUGACAGGUGCUGCAUGGCUGUCGUCAGCUCGUGUCGUGAGAUGUUGGGUUAAGUCCCGCAACGAGCGCAACCCUCGUCCUUAGUUGCCAUCAUUAAGUUGGGCACUUUAAGGAAACUGCCGGUGAUAAGCCGGAGGAAGGUGGGAUGACGUCAAGUCCUCAUGGCCCUUACAGGCUGGGCUACACACGUGCUACAAUGGCAUCUACAGUGGGCAGCUAUUCCGCAAGGAUGCGCUAAUCUCCAAAAGAUGUCUCAGUUCGGAUUGUCCUCUGCAACUCGAGGGCAUGAAGGCGGAAUCGCUAGUAAUCGCGGAUCAGCAUGCCGCGGUGAAUACGUUCCCAGGCCUU
RNAcentral lists this ribosomal RNA (444 nucleotides) under uncultured Porphyrobacter sp. RNAcentral's name for it is "bacterial SSU rRNA". It matches the Rfam family "Bacterial small subunit ribosomal RNA", at positions 936 to 1382 of the family's 1533-position model. The record is from RNAcentral. Lineage: Bacteria; Pseudomonadati; Pseudomonadota; Alphaproteobacteria; Sphingomonadales; Erythrobacteraceae.